RNAcentral lists this ribosomal RNA (503 nucleotides) under uncultured bacterium. Its description in RNAcentral is "partial 16S ribosomal RNA". It matches the Rfam family "Bacterial small subunit ribosomal RNA", at positions 899 to 1397 of the family's 1533-position model. The record is from RNAcentral.
ACUCAAAGGAAUUGACGGGGGCCCGCACAAGCGGUGGAGCAUGUGCUUUAAUUCGAUGCAACGCGAAGAACCUUACCAAGGCUUGACAUGGGGGUGAAAUCUCUAAGAAGUUAGAGACCUUCCGCAAGGAACACCCUACACAGGUGCUGCAUGGUUGUCGUCAGCUCGUGUCGUGAGAUGUUGGGUUAAGUCCCGCAACGAGCGCAACCCUCGCCCUUAGUUGCUAACAGGUUAUGCUGAGAACUCUAAGGGGACUGCCUAGUUUAACUAGGAGGAAGGUGGGGAUGACGUCAAAUCCUCAUGGCCCUUACGCCUUGGGCUAGACACGUGCUACAAUGGCCGGUACAACGGGACGCAAGACGGUGACGUUAAGCAAAUCCCAAAAAACCGGUCUCAGUUCGGAUUGGAGUCUGCAAUUCGACUCCAUGAAGCUGGAAUCGCUAGUAAUCGCGGAUCAGCAUGCCGCGGUGAAUACGUUCCCGGGCCUUGUACACACCGCCCGU